AAUGAACGCUGGCGGCGUGGAUUAGGCAUGCAAGUCGAACGCGUGUAGCAAUACAUGAGUGGCGACCUGGUUAGUACAAGUUGGGUAACCUGCCCGAAAGUGGGGAACAACCUCUCGAAAGAGGGGCUAAUACCGCAUGUGGUCCGGGGGACUUCGGUUCCUUUGACUAAAGCAGCAAUGCGCUUUCGGAUGGGCCCGACUCCCAUUAGUUAGUUGGUGAGGUAACGGCUCACCAAGACGGCGAUGGGUAGCUGGUCUGAGAGGAUGGCCAGCAACACGAGGACUGAGAUACGGCCUCGACUCCUACGGGGGGCAGCAGUCUAGAGGCUUCGGCAAUGGGGGAAACCCUGACCGAGCGACGCCGCGUGCAGGAUGAAGGUCUUCGGAUUGUAAACUGCUUUCGGCUGGAAGGAACGAUAGGGCGCGAGCUCUAUCUUGACCGACCGGCGGAAGAAG
This 456-nucleotide ribosomal RNA is filed under the name uncultured bacterium. Its description in RNAcentral is "bacterial SSU rRNA". It matches the Rfam family "Bacterial small subunit ribosomal RNA", at positions 29 to 490 of the family's 1533-position model. The record is from RNAcentral.